GACGAACGCUGGCGGCGUGCUUAACACAUGCAAGUCGAACGAAGUGGCGAACGGGUGAGUAACGCGUAAUCAACCUGCCCUUCAGAGGGGGAUAACAGUUGGAAACGACUGCUAAUACCGCAUACUUAAGGAGGGGAUUGCGUCUGAUUAGCUAGGUGGAGGGGUAACGGCCCACAGAGGGGAUGUUACUUAGGCGGUUGGAGAGGAUGAACGGCCAAAUUGGGACUGAGACACGGCCCAGACUCCGACGGUAGGCAGCAGUGGGGAAUCUUCCGAAAUGGAAGAAAGUCUGACGGAGCAACGCCGCGUGAGUGAUGACGGCCGUCGGGUUGUAAAGCUCUGUUAAUCGGGACGCGGUACCGGAAUAGAAAGCCACGGCUAACUACGUGCCAGCAGCCGCGGUAAUAC
RNAcentral lists this ribosomal RNA (408 nucleotides) under uncultured bacterium. RNAcentral describes it as "partial 16S ribosomal RNA". It matches the Rfam family "Bacterial small subunit ribosomal RNA", at positions 28 to 526 of the family's 1533-position model. The record is from RNAcentral.